CGUAGGGGGCGAGCGUUGUCCGGAAUUACUGGGCGUAAAGGGCGUGUAGGCGGCCUUUUAAGUCGCAUGUGAAAUCCCCGGGCUCAACCUGGGACCUGCAUUUGUGACUGCAAGGCUAGAGUACGGUAGAGGGGGAUGGAAUUCCGCGUGUAGCAGUGAAAUGCGUAGAUAUGCGGAGGAACACCGAUGGCGAAGGCAAUCCCCUGGACCUGUACUGACGCUCAUGCACGAAAGCGUGGGGAGCAAACAGGAUUAGAUACCCUGGUAGUCCACGCCCUAAACGAUGUCAACUGGUUGUUGGGUCUUUACUGACUCAGUAACGAAGCUAACGCGUGAAGUUGACCGCCUGGGGAGUACGGCCGCAAGGUUG
Molecule: ribosomal RNA, 370 nt
Filed under: uncultured organism
Description: bacterial SSU rRNA
Rfam family: Bacterial small subunit ribosomal RNA
Source: RNAcentral